RNAcentral lists this long non-coding RNA (1035 nucleotides) under Helianthus annuus (common sunflower). The record is from RNAcentral. Lineage: Eukaryota; Viridiplantae; Streptophyta; Magnoliopsida; Asterales; Asteraceae.
CUUUCAAUAUACUUGUGAGCCUUUACAAAAUACAAUUCUACGUGAGUGUCUUUGUUUCAAAGAGGGUUGAUCCAACAUUUGGUAUCAGAGCUUCGGCUCAUACCAGGGAUCGUGAAGGGUUCUUCGUGAACCGUAGAGAGAGUCGAACAAGGCACUGUGUGAGCCGUGUUCAUGUGAAGAAGAAGACACCGAAAAUCUGUGUGAAGGUGUGUGGCUGUGUGCUUCGAAGAUUUGAAAAGAAAUAGAUCUGUGUGAUCUAGGAGGAUUCUGUGUGAAUCAAGAAAAAUAGAUCUGUGUGAUUUGAAGAUAAAACUUACUGUGUGUGGGUUGUGUUUAUUGAAGGAAAAGAGGAGAGAUCUGUGUGAUCAAAGAGAAGGAAAAAAAUUCUGUGUGAAUUGAAGUUUGAGGGGUGUUUGUUUUGGUUGAAAAGUGAAAGGAAAAAAAAGAAAGUAGUAUUGUGGUGUUGCUGUACGAAAAAAAAGGGAGAAGAUAUAAACAUUAUUAGUUUUAUUUUGUUUCUCGAUUAUUUGGCAGGUAAAGAAAAUGGUGGUCGGUUCCAAAGCAAUGAAGACCGAAAGGAUCAAGGUUGGUAUAGAGACAAGCGAAACAUCAAGUGCUAUAAUUGUCAAGAAUACGGACAUUAUGCGAGCGAGUGUCCUAAGAAGGAAACAAAAGAAGAAGAGGCGAAUUUGAUUCGAGACGACGAUGAACCGACUUUGCUUUGAAGAAACGGGUGGAUCAAGAUUAUGGGGGUGAUUGUUGGAUAAUCUUGAUGGGUUUACAUUUGGGCCAGUAGUGUUUUGUUUAAUGGGUCAGUUAAUAAUGGGUCAUAACCCAACUUAAGUCUGCAUGUGUUUUGUUUUGAGUUCAAGAGUCAUGCACGUGAAGUUUGAAAAAGUAUUAGGUAGUUUGCUUUUAACCGGUCUUUUGUUAUGUCCGGGUAUUAGGGAGAGUCUAGUGGUAACUUUAGAAAAAGUCUUCUUUGUUUACGUUGUGUCAUUGCCUAUUUAAGGCAUGUGGAGUUAUGGAAUAAAG